RNAcentral lists this ribosomal RNA (436 nucleotides) under uncultured bacterium. RNAcentral's name for it is "partial 16S ribosomal RNA". It matches the Rfam family "Bacterial small subunit ribosomal RNA", at positions 29 to 507 of the family's 1533-position model. The record is from RNAcentral.
AACGAACGCUGGCGGCAUGCCUAACACAUGCAAGUCGAACGAUGGUCUUCGGAUCAUAGUGGCGCACGGGUGCGUAACGCGUGGGAAUCUGCCCUUGGGUUCGGAAUAACAGUUGGAAACGACUGCUAAUACCGGAUGAUGUCGAUAAGACCAAAGAUUUAUCGCCCGAGGAUGAGCCCGCGUCGGAUUAGCUAGUCGGUGGGGUAAAGGCCUACCAAGGCGACGAUCCGUAGCUGGUCUGAGAGGAUGAUCAGCCACACUGGGACUGAGACACGGCCCAGACUCCUACGGGAGGCAGCAGUGGGGAAUAUUGGACAAUGGGCGCAAGCCUGAUCCAGCAAUGCCGCGUGAGUGAUGAAGGCCUUAGGGUUGUAAAGCUCUUUUACCCGGGAAGAUAAUGACUGUACCGGGAGAAUAAGCCCCGGCUAACUCCGUG